Molecule: ribosomal RNA, 426 nt
Filed under: Alectorobius hasei
Lineage: Eukaryota; Metazoa; Arthropoda; Arachnida; Ixodida; Argasidae
Description: Ornithodoros hasei partial large subunit ribosomal RNA
Rfam family: Bacterial large subunit ribosomal RNA (bases 105-426)
Source: RNAcentral
GGUAUUUUGACUAUACGAAGGUAUUGAAAUAAGGCUUUUAUUGGGUGCUAAGAGAAUGGUUGAACAAGGAUUAACUUUCUUUUAAUUUUUAAUGGAAUUUGAUUUAAAAGUGAAGAGGCUUUUAUUAAUUUUUGGGACAAGAAGACCCUAUGAAUUUUUUUUAUAAAUUUAUUAAUUGUUCAUAAUUAAGAGGAUAAAAUGUUUUUAUAAGUUAAUUGGGGCGAUUUUUAAAUAAUGUUUAACUUUAAAAAGAAGAAGAAUUAGAACCAUAAUGUAUGGUUAAUUGAUUAAAAUACUCUAGGGAUAACAGCGUAAUUAUUUUGGAUAGUUCAUAUAGAUGAAAUAGUUUGCGACCUCGAUGUUGGAUUAAGAUGCUUAUGUAAUGAAGUAGUUACAUUAAGGAGUUUGCUCAACUUUUAAAGUCUU